GACGAACGCUGGCGGCGUGCUUAACACAUGCAAGUCGAACGAAGAGCGAGGGAAGCUUGCUUCUAUCAAUCUUAGUGGCGAACGGGUGAGGAACGCGUAAUCAACCUGCCCUUCAGAGGGGGACAACAGUUGGAAACGACUGCUAAUACCGCAUACGAUCUAAUCUCGGCAUCGAGGAUAGAUGAAAGGUGGCCUCUACAUGUAAGCUAUCACUGUAGGAGGGGAUUGCGUCUGAUUAGCUGGUUGGAGGGGUAACGGCCCACCAAGGCGAUGAUCAGUAGCCGGCCUGAGAGGAUGAACGGCCACAUUGGGACUGAGACACGGCCCAGACUCCUACGGGAGGCAGCAGUGGGGAAUCUUCCGCAAUGGACGAAAGUCUGACGGAGCAACGCCGCGUGAGUGAUGACGGCCUUCGGGUUGUAAAGCUCUGUUAAUCGGGAAGAAAGGGUUUCUUGCGAAUAGUGAGAAGGAUUGACGGUACCGGAAUAGAAAGCCACGGCUAACUACGUG
This 510-nucleotide ribosomal RNA is filed under the name uncultured bacterium. RNAcentral describes it as "partial 16S ribosomal RNA". It matches the Rfam family "Bacterial small subunit ribosomal RNA", at positions 28 to 507 of the family's 1533-position model. The record is from RNAcentral.